UUGUUUCACAAGCAUGCCACAUCUGGAAACUUUUCAAGUUUUUAAACUAAAAUUUGAAUUUCAAAACACCAAAUCUUCAAAAACCCAAAAAAAUGUAAAGCAUAACAGAAAACUCCAAAAAAUGUACUGUUAUAUUGAAUUUUCAGGUUAAUUUCAAGUUUUAGUGAUUGAAGUGCAGCUUCUAGCUUAGGGUUCGAUUACUGGUUUGUUUCUGAAGCUCCUAGGUUAAUUUCGAGUGUAAUUGGAUUCCAUCAAGGCUGCUUUAGGUCGUUUCAAUAGUUAUUUUUCAUCGGUCAUUAUUCCUGGUUCAAAUUUAGUGCAAGUUGUUUGUUGGUCGUUGAUUUUGCUGUUGAAACUGCAUCUGCGGCUGCGUUUCUAUUUGGCAGACCUCUAUUUCUCCACAUCUUUUAAUUUAAAUCUCCAGGUACACAUUAGAACUAUGUCUUGAUGUAGCAUUGGAGUUAAAAAGAAAUAAAAUUCUCAUCCAAUUGCUCGAUGAAUUGUGUUUGUUUUGGAUUACUAUGUAAUUUAGUAGGUGUUAGGAUGUACUUAUUCAUUGUAGUUCAAAUUCUGAUUUGUAUCUAUAUAUAAAUAUGAACUCGGACUGUUGUAAUUGGACUAUUAAAUUUUGAAUGGCAUUAGCUGCAGUAUGAUGUAGUUUGUUCUGUUUAAACUUUUAGAACUAGAAAAUAGUUUGAUUUGGAAAUCGAUUCCAGGGAUUUGUGAUGUUCACCUGUGUUCGAAUUAGUAGGAGUAGGCACAUAAAUAUCAACUAGAAUGUUAAUUAAUUCAGAGUUGAUAUCAUAUCCAAAUCCAAAUAAGCUGAAAUUGAAUCCAAAACAGGUCAUGAGUUGGUAUUAGCAUGAACACUGCCAGUACUAUAAAAUGGGGUCACGUUUGCUAAUUUACUGGAUGGAAACAUAAUUUGGGUUUUGAUUGCAAGUUUGUAAGUAACAAAAUCAGAUAUUGUUAAGUCUAUUGUUCAACUGAGUGUGAUUAGAGGUAUGGCUUUCUAUAGUUGUUUGUAUCAAUUCAUAACUUGACGACUUUACGUGAGGAAUUCCUUUAAAUCUGAGUGAACCAUGAAAUUGCCCUUCGAUUUUUAGCCUACUGAUUCAUGUAUAUCCAAAUUGAGUCACAAUGGUAAUUUAAUUAGUAGUUUGAUGGACUCAUCAGGACUGUUGAAGCCUGGACGGACUUGGCCAUGGGAAAAUAAUGUGACACCGCUCAAUUGGGUAAAAACUUCUCCAAACUGGGAGCCGGACUCAUACCCCUUAUCCAAAUUUCAGCAUCUUCAUUCUGAGCCCAAUGUUGUGAGCAGAAGCCCAAAGCUGAGCAAUUUGUUUUGGUAAAUAAAACAUGGGCCUAAAUACAGUAGUUCUUAGUUAAAACCAAUUAAUUAGGGCUUAUUUUGGUUUUGUUUUUUUAAAGACAAUUAAAUAGAAAAUCAUAGGUGCUCUAGGUUGGCCUCUAAAUAAAUAAACGAGGUGCGCCCCGUCAAAUAAAAUGCUUAAACUGUGGGGCCCUCUUUAAAUGCUUAUACUAAAAUACUUAG
This 1555-nucleotide long non-coding RNA is filed under the name Nicotiana benthamiana. Its description in RNAcentral is "long non-coding RNA (NBEN_LNC004730)". Lineage: Eukaryota; Viridiplantae; Streptophyta; Magnoliopsida; Solanales; Solanaceae. The record is from RNAcentral.